UCCCCCGGGUGGUGGUGACGAGGCCGGGCACGCAGGCGGAGGGGAGUGGCCUCUGCCCCCCACGGGAACUCGAGGAAGGGGCGAGCAGGGGGCCCGGCUCUGCGGAGGGAAGAGGACUUGAGACCAGGGGCCCGGCCUCUGCUCAGGUUUGGCUCACAGCCUGCGACUGGCGCUGCCCGAAGGGACUGCCCUUCGGAUGCUUUGAAAACUUAAGAAGCCAAAGCAAUUUUUUAAAUGUCCCGCUCAAGACUUUAAAAACUGGAGGCGGAGAGUCUGAGGGGUCCAUAACCUGACACUUUGGUGAGAGACGUUCUGGGAGGAGCCCCCUGUGAGACUGUCAGAAAGUCCACACGGAAAAGCCCUCGCUGUGGAUGCUGAAGGUUACUUUAGUUCUACCUUUCUUUCUGCCUAAUCUUCAGGUGGACUCGGGCAGUUUUUGCCCCAGGCACAAAGUAGAUAAAAGUACAAAAACUUCCUGUUUGCUGCCCAGACCUUCUCCAGCUAUUAAGAACUUGUUCCAGUGAUGGAGCCUCAAAGGAAUUUGUGAAUUCCUCUCCCACAAGUGCAUAGGGGCAGAGGUGCUGGGAGAAUGAGGAAUUCACAGAGGACUUGAGCAUGACAGUCAUAAUAGAUGAACCAGUCUUAAGGGAAAAGAGAAAAGACUGAGUGAGCCAACGUACUGUUUUUCCUCCAAAUAGGAAGGUUUUGGUAAAGAAUUACACGCCACUGAAGAGUAAAUUACAUUUUUGUAACUUUCCAAAGACACAGACCUUCUCUAAACUUUUUGAGGGGUGUAUGCUGCCAGGUGCUAGACAUACAAACUUCAUUUGUACAAUCACAGUUGAAAGCCAGAUCUGUACUUGGUGUGUGAACACAGCCCAGGAGAAGACAAGAUUAAUAAAGUUCAGGUUGAGGAGAAAAGGUAUUCUAGUCCGACUGAGCAGAAAGAAUGUCUCUCAUGUCCCAAGAAAAGCAUGGUCUGUGUGUGAACAGGCGUCUCUAUUUGGCUGGAUCAAAGGGCACUUGCCGGAAGAGUUUGUGAGUGAAAAUAGAAGCAGCCGUUCCCCCAACCUUACCCUAUGUGACACUCUAGCAACAGCCAGCCAGUUAGGAUUUGGGAUUCGAUCUCUGCUACAUGUUAAAGGUUGUUUAUUUAUGACAACAUCUUCAGAGAACAUGGGCAGCAAUCUUACCUCUACAUUCUUCAAUGGUAAAAUGAAGCUUUUACUGGCAUGAACAUAUUAAUACUUCCUUUUCCCAGGGAGAUGGAUUAUCAGUGAAAAUAAAUGACAAUAUUCUCUGGCAAUAAGAAUAACAAGACAGGACAAAAGUAAUGACAUCCUCUGGCAUAAUCAUGGCAGAAAAUAACUAAGUCACCUUGAAGGAGAUAAAUCAUUACAAAACACCAUCCUUUUCUAAUAUGGAUUAACAGGGAAUGACAGGAUCCUUUCAGAGGAUGGCAGCCCACAGGCCCACAUGCUUUCCUUGGACCAAAGGCAGUGACACUACCUGCCAGCCUCAUCUACAUAGAAAACAACCAGAUUCUCUGCAGGCAGAUAUUUAUUCUAUAAAAGAUAUUAUUUGUGGGAAAAGAUAGCUUAUUUGGGAAGGUUGAGAGCAUCUUUCUUCCUGCACCUCCUGUCAUCUGUGAGAGUAGGAUGGGAUUGGGGGAAGAAUACACAGAACUGCUCGUAUAUGUCUUUGGCAAGUUAGAGAGAUUUGGCUGUUGUACACACAAUUAUUUG
Long non-coding RNA from Fukomys damarensis (Damara mole-rat), 1745 nucleotides. The record is from Ensembl. Lineage: Eukaryota; Metazoa; Chordata; Mammalia; Rodentia; Bathyergidae.